Melitaea cinxia (Glanville fritillary) is the source of this 498-nucleotide long non-coding RNA. RefSeq lists it as uncharacterized. The transcript is spliced from 2 exons. Lineage: Eukaryota; Metazoa; Arthropoda; Insecta; Lepidoptera; Nymphalidae. The record is from RefSeq and is a predicted model, not a curated record.
AUGAUAUUAGUGGAUAAUAAAAAGAAAACGGUAUAAACGUCUCUAGGCUUCAAUGACGACGAAGACGAAUGACGAGAUUAGAGUUAUUACUUUGUUAUUAAUAACGUAUUAAUAUUUCAGCAGACAAUUCAGAAGCCAGUCCUCUCCGAGCCGGCGUCUCCUCCCACGAGACCGAUUCUUGGCACCCGCCACUCUCACCGGAGUAGCUGAAAGACAUUUAUCUUAAAAUACGAACGUCUAGAGAGGCGGUUAUUCAGUCGUUGAAUGAGUAACAGCGUCGACAUCAAACGAAAAUGUUUUAUUGCAGACUUUAUAUUGUAAUGGAACUAAAUUAACAGCAAUUAAGCCUUUAUGUGUUCUUGAUAUAGUCUGCCUUAAUUUUGUAGUACUUUUAAUGUAAUAAAUGUCGACAAGAUGUUAAUUAAUGUAUUGCGUCUGUUACUCUAAGAUAAAACAGACUGCUUCCGAUGUAAAAAUUAUAAAAAUCAUUGGAAUAUC